Molecule: ribosomal RNA, 119 nt
Filed under: Pelobates cultripes (western spadefoot toad)
Lineage: Eukaryota; Metazoa; Chordata; Amphibia; Anura; Pelobatidae
Source: RNAcentral
AUUUACGGCCAUACCACCCUGAACACGCCCGAUCUCGUCUGAUCUCGGAAACUAAGCAGGGUCGGGCCUGGUUAGUACUUGGAUGGGGGACCGCCUGGGAAUACCACGUGUUGUAGGCU